GGGUCCGCACAAGCGGUGGAGCAUGUGGUUUAAUUCGAUAAUACGCGAGGAACCUUACCUAGGCUAGAAUGCGAGUGACAUCCAGAGAGAUCUGGAGUUCUUCGGACACAAAGCAAGGUGCUGCAUGGUUGUCGUCAGCUCGUGCCGUGAGGUGUUGGGUUAAGUCCCGCAACGAGCGCAACCCCUGUUUUAGUUGCCAGCAAGUAAUGUUGGGGACUCUAGAAAGACUGCCUGCGUAAGCAGAGAGGAAGGAGGGGACGACGUCAAAUCAGCAUGGCCCUUAUGCCUAGGGCUACACACGUGCUACAAUGGCGUAUACAAAGGGUAGCGAACCAGUGAUGGUAAGCCAAUCUCUAAAAGUACGUCUCAGUUCGGAUUGAAGUCUGCAACUCGACUUCAUGAAGCUGGAAUCGCUAGUAAUCGUGUAUC
RNAcentral lists this ribosomal RNA (429 nucleotides) under uncultured bacterium. RNAcentral's name for it is "bacterial SSU rRNA". It matches the Rfam family "Bacterial small subunit ribosomal RNA", at positions 917 to 1350 of the family's 1533-position model. The record is from RNAcentral.